RNAcentral lists this long non-coding RNA (1130 nucleotides) under Nicotiana benthamiana. RNAcentral's name for it is "long non-coding RNA (NBEN_LNC017421)". The record is from RNAcentral. Lineage: Eukaryota; Viridiplantae; Streptophyta; Magnoliopsida; Solanales; Solanaceae.
AUCUCUCUACUUCUGGUUCUCUUUAAAACCGUCCCCCUUCCUCUCCUAUCCGCUGGGUUCAUUUCUCCUUCUUCGUCCACUUUUUGACAUGAAUCCAUGGUGGUUUCACCACCACCAAGCCACCUAUGACUCAUCGCAUUUGGUUACUGAAGCUGCAUGACUCGACCACGAAGAGUUGUGUCCAAACCUCUGUUGACUGAGUUCCACGGCCAUCUCCAGCUUGCUCCGGUAAUCCAUGCCUUUUUGAGCCUGGCCUCGACUCCUCCUUUUUAGAUCGAAGCCUUUCUCAUCGUUUAGGUAGCUCUGAAAACCCUAGUUUUGAGGUUUUCCUUGAUCUCUUUAGAUCUCUUUUAGAUAUAUGCUUUCCUUAAGAUUUUAAAUGAUUUUCUUGAUUUUUCUUUUAAAAAACUACUUUUAAAACUGUUUCUUUUCCGACCUAGGGUUUUUCUAAGAUAUUUAAAUGUUUCUCUGACUUUCUUUUUCUUUUAUGUGUUUCUUCUACUGCAUUUUCCUCUACUAUAUUCUUGUAUGUUUCUUCUACUAUAUUUUCCUCUACUGUGUUCUUGUGUGAGUUUCUUAUUAAGUGUUCUAGUUAAGUUUCUCCUAAUAUGCUUCUCCUAUUGGUCUUAGUAAUUUUUUCCAUUAUGUUUCUUAUUAGUUCUUCUACCAUGUUGCUUUGAGUUUCUCUACUGUGUUUCACAUGCUAUUCUUUACUAUGCCGUUCAUGAGUUUCUGCUACUGAUAGACGGUUCAAGGGUCUCAGUUUUUUUUGAGACCCCUAAACCUGUUUUCAUGUAGUAUCUUUUCCCCUUAGUCACCUGUACUUUCGUCUCUGCACUCGGAUAAUGACAAGAACCCUGAAUUUUUGGGUUCAGUGGAGUUUUGAGACCCCUGGAUACGUGAUUUGUUGGAUAUUCAUCUUUGAACUUGCCUGGUUUCGAAAACCCUAAUUUUUGGACCUAUUUGAGUUCCUGGAAUUGUCAUUUACUGCUUCAUUAAGCUUCAGAAUCAUUGUUUCAGUGUUGUUUCUUCAUAUGAAUCUGACUUUUUCCGAACUCUACAAGACCUUUUUAUUGAUCCCUUCUCGCAUGCCUGAUACUUGUGUACUCUUUAUAUGUGCUGGACUUCCC